CAGCCGCCGCGGUAAUACGAAGGGUGCAAGCGUUACUCGGAAUUACUGGGCGUAAAGCGUGCGUAGGUGGUGGUUUAAGUCCGUUGUGAAAGCCCUGGGCUCAACCUGGGAAUUGCAGUGGAUACUGGGUCACUAGAGCGUGGUAGAGGAUAGUGGAAUUUCCGGUGUAGCAGUGAAAUGCGUAGAGAUCGGAAGGAACAUCUGUGGCGAAGGCGACUAUCUGGGCCAGCACUGACACUGAGGCACGAAAGCGUGGGGAGCAAACAGGAUUAGAUACCCCUGUAGUCCCUGUCUCUUAUAC
Molecule: ribosomal RNA, 301 nt
Filed under: uncultured bacterium
Lineage: Bacteria
Description: partial 16S ribosomal RNA
Rfam family: Bacterial small subunit ribosomal RNA
Source: RNAcentral